This 421-nucleotide ribosomal RNA is filed under the name uncultured archaeon. RNAcentral's name for it is "partial 16S ribosomal RNA". It matches the Rfam family "Archaeal small subunit ribosomal RNA", at positions 323 to 746 of the family's 1478-position model. The record is from RNAcentral.
CUACGGGGCGCUGCAGUCGAGGAAAUUUUACAAUGCUCGAAAGAGUGAUAGAAUAAGCCAGAGUGUUUCUCAUAGAGAAACUUUUACCUGUUGUAAAAAGACAGGAGAAUAAGUACUGGGCAAGAGCCGGUGCCAGCCGCCGCGGUAAUACCGGCGGUCCAAGUCGCAUCCACAUUUAUUGGGUCUAAAACAUUCGUAGCUUGUUUUGUAAGUUUCUUGUGAAAUCUGAUAUCUCAAGUAUCAGGCGUGCAAGAAAUACUACAUUACUAGAGACCGGAAGAUGUAAAGAGUACGAUAGAGGUAGCGGUAAAAUGUGUUAAUCUCUAUCGGACUAACAAUGGCGAAGGCACUUUACAAGUACGGAUCUGACAGUGAGGGAUGAAGGCCAGGGGCGCAAAAGGGAUUAGAUACCCUGGUAGUC